UACAGAGGUCCCGAGCGUUGUUCGGAUUCACUGGGCGUAAAGGGUGCGUAGGUGGUGAGGUAAGUCGGAUGUGAAAUCUCCAAGCUCAACUUGGAAAUGGCAUUGGAAACUACCUUGCUGGAGGUUUGGAGGGGGGACUGGAAUUCUCGGUGUAGCAGUGAAAUGCGUAGAUAUCGGGAGGAACACCAGUGGCGAAGGCGGCGAUCUGGGAAGAUACUGACGCUGAGGUGCGAAAGCGUGGGGAGCAAACAGG
Molecule: ribosomal RNA, 253 nt
Filed under: uncultured bacterium
Lineage: Bacteria
Description: partial 16S ribosomal RNA
Rfam family: Bacterial small subunit ribosomal RNA
Source: RNAcentral